UGACCCCAAGGUCACCGCAAUGUCGGGAGAUGUGCCCGAUAAACUGCCGAUACCAGUGGAAAUCAAUAUGGAAAUAAAAGAGCAAUUGAAGAAAGAAAUUCGACAGUUUGGAAAAUAUGAGAAAAUCUUAAAAUUGCUUGAAGGAGUGCAAGGACCUCCAGAAGUGCAGAAAAAAUUUGUUGCAUAUGCCAUGAAGGAAGCGGCAAGAUUUAAAAGACAAGACUUAAUAAGUCACCUUGGGAAGGUACGAGGUAAACUAGAACGUGACCAGUUUCUCAACAAAGAUGAUGGCUCCCCCAAAUUAUAAUCCUGGUAUCGCAAUGAUCAACGAGAAAGCAGAACCAGUUGGCUGUCCUGGAGUGCGACCAGAUACUAUUGAUGCCUCCCAGCAUGAGUUAGUUAGGAAUUGUCUUCUUGCAGCUAAGAAAAUGCAUUGCAACU
Molecule: long non-coding RNA, 441 nt
Organism: Mirounga angustirostris (Northern elephant seal)
Lineage: Eukaryota; Metazoa; Chordata; Mammalia; Carnivora; Phocidae
Exons: 3
Source: RefSeq, a predicted model, not a curated record